GGAGGUUGUGGCUCAGUGGAAGAGCAUCUGCUUGGCUUGCAAAUGGUCCUGGGUUCAAUCUCUGACAUCUCCA
RNAcentral lists this transfer RNA (73 nucleotides) under Sphaerodactylus townsendi. RNAcentral's name for it is "tRNA-Ala". Lineage: Eukaryota; Metazoa; Chordata; Lepidosauria; Squamata; Sphaerodactylidae. The record is from RNAcentral.